Molecule: long non-coding RNA, 1244 nt
Organism: Alosa sapidissima (American shad)
Lineage: Eukaryota; Metazoa; Chordata; Actinopteri; Clupeiformes; Clupeidae
Exons: 5
Source: RefSeq, a predicted model, not a curated record
UUCUUGCCAUGAGGCUGACUGUGCAGGGCACACCUGUGGAUGGAGGUCAGAGUUUUUCCAGCUUUGGUAUGGAAACCCAAUGUUGUGGUCCGUUAAAAUUAACGCUUUCAAGUCAGAUGAGUUUCAAAAGAAUAAUGGCAUGAGCAGCUGGAACAGAAAGGAACAUGGCUUUCUUUUUACAUCACCAAUACUGGAAGUUACAAAAAGUGAAUGUACCAUCAGAUCAAACACAAAAUAACUGAAGAGUGUUGCGGGCAAUGGAAGGAUCUUUACCUGUGAGGGAAAGCGCAACAACAUGAAGAUAGAAGAGAUUUGUCCAGUGAGUUCAGGCAAAUCUGAGAGACCCUCGGAGGUGAGCGGACCCCCACUGAAAAGGAAUCUCAGCUAUGAGGCUGGAGACGUGCUGAAAGCCUCCUGUUAGUGCUCUGCAGAGCCCAGUAUGUAUUUCCAUCCCCACCUUUGGACUUCAUUUAUAUCUGGAGACUUGGUCGGCACACUUUGACUGGCUGCCAGGCUCACCUCAGACUCCACGCCUCCGAGCGAGCGGAGCCAAGUUUAAGCUGGCCAAGGGCCUCAGGUAUGCUGCUGGCCCUGCUGAAUACACCACGUAUUGUGUUGCCCCUCUCUCACCACAUUUUUUUUUUUAAAGUUAGCUAUUUGCUUAAAAAAAUGUGAGGCACAAAAACAGACUGUAAUUAAAUUUGUAAUUUUUCGUCUGGUCUUUAUAACAUAGAUUCAUUCAGGGUCACAGGAACAUUGGCUAUUUGUCAGAGAAGCCACUUAAACCACCACCUCUCGUCUCGGCCUCUCGUCUUUUCUACCUGGUAUCACACACACCUCAUAGCCCCUGAAGCCUGCGCCGUAAGCAAACAUCCUGUACCUUUAUUGGGCUUUUAGUGGCCCUCCUGCAGUCUGACAAUGCAGGAUUAGGGCCGUGGGGGAAACUGAGCAGGGGAGAUGAGAGGGUAUCAAGAGCUAAGAAAGAGUGGAAGCGAGGGGGAGAGAGGGCCCUCCUCCCAUCCCAGCUCCUAGACUGAGGGCCCUUAGAAGGGCUCUUAUCUAGCAGUCAGGGUACUUUACUGAGAUAAACAAUUACUUCCUUUUUGCCUGACCCUCAGAAGUAGGGGUGGGAGACUGUCUGCACCUCUCCUACUCUUUGUUAUGGCCUCUUGCUGUAAUUGACCACUUCAAAUGCUUUUUCUCUGCUUCUGCUUUUUUUUUCUUUUUUGUUUUUCCUCUGUCUU